UUGUUACCACCAUGGCAUAAUAAUACACUGAGGGCGUGUUUAGUUCACUUCUUUUUCACCCUGAAAUCGGAAUCAGAAUGGGCGAAUUCGUUUGUGCGAGUUUGAUACGCGGGAGUCCAUUCCGAUUCCGGUUUCCGAGUGAAAUGGGAAUUCCCUAAUCACCUCUUUUUUCAAUCCGGCCUAGGAGGCCGGAUUGGAAGUUGAAUCCGAACGGAAUGGAUAUUUAUUCAGAUUAAAUUUAUUUUUUCAACUUUUUUAAUUAAGAUAUGAGUUAAAAUUGAAAAAUUAAAUAUAUAAUUUUAAAUUUUAAUUUGACUUAAAUUAAAAAUUAAAAUUUAAUCAAGUAUUUCGAAUCUAACUUAUGAAUUUAAAUUUAAAUUAAAUUUUAAUUUAUAUAAAGUUUUAAUCAAAUUUUAUUUCAAACUUAAAUUAAAUUUAUGGAUUCAAAUUAAAAUUUAAAUUGUAAUUUUAAGUUUGAAUNUUUAAUUUUUAAUUUGAAUUUAAAUUAAUAUAUUAUAAAGAUAAUGUUAGUAUAUUAAUUUGAUUAUAUUUUUUAUAUCCACCUGAAUCAAACACCGAUAAUGGAAAUGAUUUAUUUCGAUUCUGAUUCAGGUGAUAAACCAAACAGAAUUAGGUAAUGAGUCAUUCCGAUUCCGAUUCCAACUUAUUUUGAUUCCGAUUCCAGCUUAUUUCGACUCCGACUUCAAUCCAAACACGGCUUGAAACUCCUCUCUCUUUACUACUAAGGGAUAUCCAAAGAAUAUAUUAUUGUACAGUAACACACCGUUUGGAUGGGGUAUAAGGAGAGAAUAAAAGCUUAUUCCCUCCCUUAAAGAAAGAAAUUUAGUGGAACCGUAGUUCCCACUUCCCACUUCCCACCUUAAUAGGAACAAUUGUUUCCGCCCCUUAGAUGGAAUUGUUUAUGGAACAAGCUUGAGAGAGAUAGAAAGAGAGAGAAUUUUAAAUUUAUUACAAAAUUUAUAAUUUAUAAUUUCAAAAUUAAAAUUUAUAAUUUUUAAAUUUUAAAUUUGAGAUUUUAAAUUUUAAAAAUUUUCAAAUUCUAAAUUUGAUAUUUUAUAUUUUUCAAAAUUUAAAUUCGAUGCUAAAUCUAAAAUCAAAGUUUACAAUUUGAGAUUUUAAAUUUUAUAUUUUAAAUUUAAAUUUUAAAAUUUAAAAAUUAAAAAUUAAAAUUUAAAAAUUUAAGUAUGAAAUUUAAAAAUUGUAAUGAGAGAAAUAAUAUCAUUAUUUUUUAUUUAUAACUACCCAUUAUUCUUUUUAUUCUAUCUUAUCUGUUCAAAUGCUAUUUUUCUGAUUUCCGGAAACAACUCAAUUUCAUCCAAACGCAAAAUUAAUUUUUGCUUAUACCACUAUUCUUUUUAUUCUAUCUUAUCUGUUCAAAUGCUAUUUUUCUGAUUUCCGGAAACAACUCAAUUUCAUCCAAACGCAAAAUUAAUUUUUGCUUAUACCACUAUUCUUUUUAUUCUAUCUUAUCUGUUCAAACGCUAUUUUUCUUAUUUUCGGAAACAACUCAAUUUUAAUCCAAACACAAAAUUAGUCUAGUUUUUGCUUAUACCUGAACUUAUACCUAUCUCUGGAAUAAGCAAUUCUAAUUUAUACCCAAACCAAACGAAGCCUAAAGAGUUCUAAUUAUCUAGGAAAGAAGCCACCUCUCCUAGGCAUCCAAACAAUAUGUAACGCAAGCUUAAGCCGCGCUGAGAGUAAAGAAGCAUAAGGACGGAGAGAGAUGCAAACUAAAGCUGCCGAGAGUAAAGAAGCAUAAGGACAAAGAGAAUUGCAAUCUUAAGUUGCACUGAGGGCUUGUUUGGUUCAAGGGUGGAAUUGAAAUGGAUAAUAGAAUGGGAAUGAAUUGGAAUGGUACUUGGAAUGACCCACUCUCCCAAGACGUUUGGUUUAUUUGUGGAUUGGGAAUUGGAAUGAGUUAUUCACAUUUCAUUAUUUGAUUCGUAUAAAUUAAAAAAUUAUAAGAUACUAUAAUACUAAUUUUACUCUCAAAUAUAAAUUUAUAUUAUUUAAAAUUUAUGAAAAAUAUAAUACUAUUCUCUAAUAAGUUUUUCAAAAAAAAUAUCAAAUUUAUUUUUAAAAACUUUUAUUGAUGUGGGUUAGGGAUAGGGUUUUGAGAGAGGAUAGUUUUUUUUUUUUUGUUUGAUAGAAAAGGGGGAAGGGUAGGAAGGUGACCGAGCUCGAGCGAGCUUUAGUGGGCUUCCAUAAUGAAAUCUCAAUCCGGACUAGAAGACCGGAAUCAAGUUGAAGGCUAAUGGGCCAUUUCCAUUCCAGUCCGGAAUAGGAAUCCCAAAUCGAUUCAUGCGAACCAAAUAAAAUUAACCGGAUUUGAUCAAACCGAUUCCCAUUCCAUAUUCAAAAUGGAUGAACCAAACAAGCCUGAGAGUGAAGAAACAUAAGAACGGUGAGA
This 2431-nucleotide long non-coding RNA is filed under the name Ananas comosus (pineapple). RNAcentral describes it as "long non-coding RNA (ACOM_LNC042819)". Lineage: Eukaryota; Viridiplantae; Streptophyta; Magnoliopsida; Poales; Bromeliaceae. The record is from RNAcentral.